ACCUUUGAUUAUCAAUAAAGAACCGCAUUUUCUCACUUCUUCUCUUUAAGUGUUCUUAAGAGAUUAAGCUCGUUCUUUGUCUUGUGUGUGUGAUUCACCAAGACUAAUUUCGUGUACUGUAUUAGAGACUUAUCACAUCUUUGUGGUGUACUUCAAUCCGCCAGCACUUCCCCUCCAUUAGAUCCCACACGAGAGAAGUGAUCGCCAUCGUGUUAAAUCUCCAUCAUCGACCAUCUUUCCUUCACAAGAGAGAAGCGACCGCCAGCUUGUGAAGCCACCAUCUCUAUCAGAUACAAAGCUCACCACCGAGUCUUGUAUCAUCUUCUCACUUGGAGAUAAAGCCAAUCUAUGGGAAAAACGUUACCCUAGAAUUCAAUCACAACUUGGGAUGACUGCAAGGAAGCCUUCUUGGCAAAAUUCUUCUCCAACUCCAGAACUACAAGACUCCGGAAUGAGAUAUCCGAAUUCACUCAGAAGCAAACUGAAGCCUUCUGUGACGCUUGGGAGCGCUUGAAGGGUUAUCAAACCAAAUGCCCUCAUCACGGAUUUAAGCAGGCUUGUCUUCUCAGCACACUCUAAAGAGGCGUCCAGCUUAAGAUAAGGAUGCUGCUUGAUACCGCUUCAAAUGGGAGCUUUCUCAACAAGGAUGCUUAAGAAGGAUAGGAGCUAGUUGAAAAAUUGGCUUAGUCGGAUGGUAAUUACAAUGAUGAUUAUGACAGAAGCAUCCACACCAGCUUUGACUCUGAUGACAAGCACCGCAAAAAGAUUAAAACUCUCAAUGAAAAAAUAGACAAACUCCUUCAAGUGCAACAGAAGCAUGUUCACUUCGCCCCUGAAGAUGAACUAUUCCAAGUGCAAGAAAGGGAGAAUGAUCAGUGUGCUGAAAGCAGCUAUCUUCCGAACCAAGGUGGCUACAACAAAGGGUACAACAAUUACACAUCCAACCCGAAUCUGUCAUAUAGAAGCACCAAUGUAGCUAACCCACAAGACUAAGUCUACCUAAGCAACACCAACAACAACAACCCAAAACGUUUGUUCCUUACAACCAAGUUCAGGGGUUUGUUCCAAAGCAACAGUUCCAGGGAGGUUAUUGAUAUAUCCCUAUUUUCACUGAUUUUAUCUAUGUCUUAGGGUUAGGAUUUUGAGUCUUUAUGUUAUAUCUCUAAUCUUUUUAGUGUCUUUCAGGUAUCUUAUGCAUUGGGACAACAAUGGAGAUAAGGAGACAUUUUGGAGCAAAAGCUUAGGAAAAGGAAGCUAAGGACGUUUUUGGACUCAGGAAUCAAGAGUGUGUCGAUCGACACCAGUUUCGGCCCAGCAAAGUCCUAGACGCUUUCAAGUUUACAGAAUAGGAAAUUUGGCCCAGAAGACUUCCUUAUUUACAUUAUUAGUCCGUAAAUGUUUUAUAGGGUUUAUAUACAUUGUUUUAGACCCUAGUUUUCAUCAAAAAAGUUAUCAUCAAGUUUUUAUCACGCUUUUUGCAAACCCUGUUACAGAGAGACAUAAGCUAUUCAUCGAGUGUUUUCAGAGAUUGAUUCAGUUCUUAAUUCAGUGAAGAGAUCCCUUCUUUCCCUUA
RNAcentral lists this small RNA (1573 nucleotides) under Arabidopsis thaliana (thale cress). RNAcentral's name for it is "ATSL165810". The record is from RNAcentral. Lineage: Eukaryota; Viridiplantae; Streptophyta; Magnoliopsida; Brassicales; Brassicaceae.